CUCUUUCUUCCAGUAGGACUAGAAACCAUAGCUGUUAUGCCUCUUUCUCCCCAUAGGACUAGAAACCUGUUCCUCUUUCUCCCAGUAGGACUAGAAACCUGUUCCUCUUUCUCCCAGUAGGACUAGAAACCUGUUCCUCUUUCUCCCAGUAGGACUAGAAACCUGUUCCUCUUUCUUCCAGUAGGACUAGAAACCAUAGCUGUUAUGCCUCUUUCUCCCAGUAGGACUAGAAACCUGUUCCUCUUUCUCCCAGUAGGACUAGAAACCUGUUCCUCUUUCUCCCAGUAGGACUAGAAACCUGUUCCUCUUUCUCCCCAUAGGACUAGAAACCUGUUCCUCUUUCUCCCAGUAGGACUAGAAACCUGUUCCUCUUUCUCCCAGUAGGACUAGAAACCUGUUCCUCUUUCUCCCAGUAGGACUAGAAACCUGUUCCUCUUUCUCCCAAUAGGACUAGAAACCUGUUCCUCUUUCUCCCAGUAGGACUAGAAACCUGUUCCUCUUUCUCCCAGUAGGACUAGAAACCUGUUCCUCUUUCUCCCAGUAGGACUAGAAACCUGUUCUCUUUCUCCCAGUAGGACUAGAAACCUGUUCCUCUUUCUCCCAGUAGGACUAGAAACCUGUUCCUCUUUCUCCCAGUAGGACUAGAAACCUGUUCCUCUUUCUCCCAAUAGGACUAAAACAGGCCAUUUUGGAGUCACUGUUAUUGUAAAUAAGAACAGAUUGUUUCUAAACGCUUCUACAUUAAUGUGGAUGUUACCGUGAUAAUCCUGAAUUAAUCCACAUUUAAUGUAGAAGUGUUUAGAAACAUUAUAUUCUUAUUUAAGGUUAAAGUGACUCCAC
Molecule: long non-coding RNA, 840 nt
Filed under: Salmo salar (Atlantic salmon)
Lineage: Eukaryota; Metazoa; Chordata; Actinopteri; Salmoniformes; Salmonidae
Description: lncRNA (ENSSSAG00000115712.1)
Source: RNAcentral